Molecule: long non-coding RNA, 1272 nt
Organism: Pistacia vera
Lineage: Eukaryota; Viridiplantae; Streptophyta; Magnoliopsida; Sapindales; Anacardiaceae
Exons: 3
Source: RefSeq, a predicted model, not a curated record
ACUCUCUCCUUCCCCUAAAUAAAAAAUCUCUGCCAAAAUUGAAAUUUCUCUCCUUCCCCUAAAUCAAAUCUCUCCCAAAAUCAAAUUUGAACCGCCGUUGUCUGUCAUCUACCACCACCACCACCGGCUAUCGUCUACCAAAAAAACUUCGGUUCUCUUCAACUCACCCAAAAAGCCAAAACACAAACAAAACCAAAAACAUUUCCUUCCGAUUCUCUCAAGUUUCCUUCCAUGGCUUUCACCAACUCUCUCUUCUCUUCUUCAACUCUUCCUCUAACUCCACUCACCGAUUCCGAUUUCUCCCCUCUAAUUUCUCACGACUCAUUCAUCUCAAUUUCAGUGGCAAUUUCCCUCCGAUUUCUCACAAUUUCUCUCAACAAUGGCUUCUCCACGCAAGAAAACAGAAGCCAGGAACAUUCUAUAUGCUACCAGUGAUCGUACAAAUGCAGUUAGUUCAACCCAUUGAAGUCAGAAAGAAAAGAAAGAGGAAGAGAGAAAGAAAAUCUGAAGAAGAAAGAAGACAAAGAAAGUAUGCUAUGAUGAUAUCUUUAUGAUUUCUUCUACUUUGGAAGUGUUUGUGUUUAUAUUGGUCCAAUUCAUACAAAUUUAGCUAUUCCAAUUAAAAGAGGUAUUGGCUUAAAGGCUCUCCUAUUUUUAACCUACUACAAUUAGAGUGUGACAAUUUCUCACUUUAAUUUGUUCUUCCUACAUUUCUGACUUUCGUUAUUCUUUAUUCUCUGUGUUUAAGUAUAAAGAACUGCUAUUCUUUGUUCUCUGUCUUUAAGUUUAAAGAACUAUAGAAUUGUGUUUGGUCUGUCUGGAUAUAUAUUUGACUUGAUUUCUGGAUACCCAAGCAUGUGGGAUUUCAUGUUGUAGUUUCUGCAAUUUCUGGGAGAGACUUGCGUUUUUUGCAGGUUAUGCAGAUUUCAUGUUUCUGUAGUGUCUGGGAGAGUGCUUUUUUUUUGCCAGAAGUUGGCUGGAGUGAUGCUGGUGCUUGUUGAGUUUGCUGGAAGUGAUGUUGGUAGUGAUGCUGGAAGUUUGCUGCCCUACUUCUGGUGUGAUUCUGGGACAUUUUUCUGCAGAUUUUUGUUGCUGCAGUGUUGUGUUUGCUGUAGUGUUUUGCCUGCUGGUUGUUAAGUUUUGUUUAAUUGAUUGUUGUCUUCAAAUGGACAGGUUUUGUUUUGUUUUUGUUAAUUUUAUAUUACAUUCAAUCAGAUGUACUACACAACAAUCUGCUAUUUUGAAUAUAUUAUUUGAUACAUGAUAAAUAGA